This 415-nucleotide ribosomal RNA is filed under the name Exiguobacterium sp. LBBMA TRN3. RNAcentral's name for it is "bacterial SSU rRNA". It matches the Rfam family "Bacterial small subunit ribosomal RNA", at positions 62 to 468 of the family's 1533-position model. The record is from RNAcentral. Lineage: Bacteria; Bacillati; Bacillota; Bacilli; Caryophanales.
GGAACCCCUNCCGGGGGAACGAACCGGCCGGAAAUGAGCGCCGGACGGGUGAGUAAACACGUAAAGAACCUGCCCAUAGGUCUGGGAUAACCACGAGAAAUCGGGGCUAAUACCGGAUGUGUCAUCGGACCGCAUGGUCCGCUGAUGAAAGGCGCUUCGGCGUCGCCCAUGGAUGGCUUUGCGGUGCAUUAGCUAGUUGGUGGGGUAACGGCCCACCAAGGCGACGAUGCAUAGCCGACCUGAGAGGGUGAUCGGCCACACUGGGACUGAGACACGGCCCAGACUCCUACGGGAGGCAGCAGUAGGGAAUCUUCCACAAUGGACGAAAGUCUGAUGGAGCAACGCCGCGUGAACGAUGAAGCUUUCGGGUCGUAAAGUUCUGUUGUAAGGGAAGAACAAGUGCCGCAGGCAUGCG